GAGAGAGGGAGGUGAUGAGCUCGACAGUGACUGGAGGGACCCGCAGGAGCUGGGCUGUCUUGUUGCAGCCACGGGAGAGGCUAUUUUUUUGCCGAAGGGAGCGUGGGAAAGAGGAGGCAGCCCCCCACCGCCCCAGCCAGCACCCCGCACCUCUUUGGCAUGUGCGCUCCUGCAGCGACUGGGAAGGUGAUUGUUCAGCAGAACUGCGUGGGAAGCAAUGCGAGCAGAGCCUGUGUGGAGCGAGAAACUCGUCAGGGCUGCUGAAAACACCGUAGAGAGGCCCUCUGUGGACUGAUUUGGCAUUACGAGCAGGUCCCAGCCAAGUAUCGACAAAUACCUUAACAACGUCGAAAGUAGCCUAUUUUAAGAGGAAAUAUGCAGAAGAAGAAGAAGAUUUACAUCAGGAUUACCAGGGGUAUUUUCCAAAACACCUGAUCCUGCCCGAAGACCGGACUUGUAUCUUGAAACUUUCUCUGCAGAAGCUCCAGUUCCUUGAAGAUCCUGAGAUCUACCUCCGCCGGUCCGUCUUGAUCAACAACCUGCUGCGGAAGAUUCACCUGGAAACGGAGAGGGAACGCUAUGAAUACUUUAAGGGGAGUCCGUGCUGCCGGACUGCCUACGCGGAUGCACGAAAACGGCUGAAGUUCAUGGUCCAAGAAUGCCGUUCUCAAUCCCUUUAUUACGAAGAGCUGCAUUCGUAUCAUAUCGUGCCUUACCCUACGGAGAAUGCCAUUUACGGAGUGGGCUACACGAGUGGCCACUUGGAGCAGAAUUCUCAGUUGCUUAUUUAUAAGAUGGAGUAAAGGUCGUGCUUUCUUUUCUUGUAGACCUGCUGGUUGUUUUGCUUCUGAGCAGCUAGGAGGGCUUCUUAGCCUGCUACGGCGAGGCGCUAGCUGCAACUGUAGGGAGAGGUCAAAGGUUAGUGCGUCACCUUAGGCUGCAAUGAUGGUUGCUCUGGGCGAGCUUUGGCCAGCUUGGUUGCAAACAUCGCUCAGCGUCCACUUGGAACUGGUGCAAUAGGGAGGUUCCUCAGAAGCAGAGAGAGAUCUUGUGCUCAGCGAUCAGUGGCUUUUUGAUUUGUCCGUUAUGUAUAUAGAUGAAUUAACAUUAGCAGCUUAACUAGACCACCCUUGCUUAGGAAACGUAAACUGACGACAGGAGACUAAUCCGUUAGUGAGGUUUUUGGUGAGAAUCAGAAAGGGCGGGUGGGAUUGACUUCUCAAAAGGGUCAAGAAACAAGCUUUCAUUUUAAGGGAGUCCUUCGGCACCGAAGGGUUCUCUGCCGUUACAGAUAUGGAUUCCUUUUCACGCUUUUUUUGCUUAGGGUAUUCCAUGCUAUUAACUGUUCUGAGAUUGUUCUGCUUAGCCAUUCAUUUGCUGGCUCGCUGACUUUGCCAGCAUACAUGGUUCCUUGUUUUGCUUGGCACUUCUGACUUUGUGUAACUUCAGUGAAUUUGGUGAGCCAGAAAAACGCAUUCGCCCCGUGAUCACCGCUUUCUAAGAGAUCCUCUUUGAGUUCCUGUCAAACUGAUAUGACGGUUCAGUGGCAGGGUGCUUAUCAGUAUUAAUGCUUUGGCAGGUCGUUGUGUGUGUGUGUGUGUGUGUGUGUGUGUGUGUGUGUGUGUGUGUGUGUCUGUGUGUGAUUUGGGGGACAAAUAUAUGUUUGAUUCAGUGAACCAUACGAGGCAGUUGUCCCAGUGUUCACAGUUGAUGAAGGCAGCCAGCUGAAGCUUAGGAAAUGUCUUCUACGACCCUCAAGCAUGUCACGCAAAGGAAGAUGGCAAAAAGAUCAACAAAGAUUGGUGAGGAUGCCAUUGCUGCCCAUGGUGUGUGGUGAAAUUGCCAAAGAGAAGUAUUAGACAGGAGGGUGCAAGAGGCCGCAGAACCCAAAAUGAGGAAUGCACCAAGUCCCGGUUGACACUACAAGCUCAUGGCAGAUUUGUACCAAUUUUUACUCUGGACUUCUGCUAAAGUAUCUUGGGAACUUUAGUUUGCUGAGGUUUUUGUUAUCAGUUCCUACUACAGUUCCCACAGUUCCCUAGGGAGGCAGAGUCAGUAGGAGGCGGUAACAGGGCCUUUCCUUUGGGCUUACGUCAAAAUUAAACUCAGAGAAGAAGCGAGUUCAAGACCAAAUCCACACCACACAUUUAAAGCGCAUUUAUACCACUUUAACAGUCCCAAGAAAUCCUGGGAACUGUAGUUUGUUAAGGGUGCUGCAAGUUCCUAGGGGACCCUUGUUUCCCCCCGCAGAAUUAUAAAUCCCAUAGUUCCCUGGGAAGAGGGCUUGACAGUUAAACCACUGAGGGAAUUGCAGUUCAGAAUAGGGGUCUCAGCACCUUUAGCAAACUACACUUCCCAAGAUUCCUUUGGGGAAAGCUGCGGCUGUUCAAAGAGGUCUGAUAGUGCUUUAAAUGCAUGAUGCAGAUGUGGCCUACAUCUGCAGUGUGGGUGAGCCUUCCAGUCUAGGGAAGUUUCUAUCUGAACCUUUGAAAGUUGCAUCAUUCAGCAUUAAACGACACAACAUUUCCCUGAAGAUGCACUGCUGAGAUGAAGUCCUUAUUGUGCUGUUCCAUGGCUCCUACUGAAUUUCCUUCGGGUUUAUGCGGGAGAACAAUCCAAAGGGUUGGGCCCUAAUGGGAUCCAUCAUUUGCAUGCAUAUGGAUCUCUUUGUUUGCAUUUGUACAUUGUAACUUUAUUUUAUUUUUAUUUUAAAGAAAGUUUAAGUUCAAGAAGGACUAAUACUGACAGAUGUUAUACGAGGGUGUCCUCUUAACUUCCGCAAGCAAAGCCAUCAUUCUUAUGCAAGGGGCAGUUAAAGCCGUCUCUGAAUGUUUCUUUUCUAGGGGGGCAAGUAAGAAAAAUCUUUAGCGAAGUCUAGCAAAGGGGUGGGGAGGGAGGGGACCAUCAUUCUGAGCCAACUUAAAAUGCCUCGUAUUUGCCUGUGUUUUUGCUUGUUUUUGCACACACAUCACUAGCUAACUCUAGUGGUGCUUGUGAGGAUUCCCAGCUGAUCGUGCGAAUGGACCUCACUGUGUGUCUGCUGGUGCUUGGCGAUGUGGAAAUCCUAUUCUGUGAUGCUUGCUCACACCCGAAUGCUACAGCCAGCGAAGGAUGAAUGUGCUUGAGUACCAGGGCUGGCGCCGACCCACACACUUGCGUAUUGCUUGUUCCACAACAUUUGUGUGGCACUCGGUUGCAAGAAAAUCCCAAACCGGUUUGCAAAGUGACCGAUGUCGAGGUCUGUUGAGAGCCAGGGGCAGAAUCAUAGAAUUGCAGAGUUGUAAGGGACCCUGAGGAUCAUCUAGUCCAACCCCCUGAAAAUGCAGGAAUAUGCAGCUGUACCAUAGGGGGGUUGAGCCUGCAAGCUUGGCAUCAUCAGCACCAUGCUCUAACCAACGGAGCUCUCCAGGGUAGCCAACUGGUUGCCCUCCAGGUACUGGCUCCUCUGCGCACUGUUAGCCUUAACUGACCUUACAUUUCUCGUGCUUUGAUGCCGCUUUGCACAGAGGCUGCCUCUGUACUGCCUCUGCACAACUCAAUAAUAAUGUUGAGCGCCGCGCUUUAGGCAUCUGAGAGUGUAUAAACAGUUUGCCAUCUCGGCUGGGGGCAUUGGAGACUGAAGUGUGCCUAGGAGGAAAGUGGCUAUUUAGCGUUCAGUGGAAUGUUGCAUGUUUUUCCUGCUUUCUUCCUUUAAAAAAAUAAUGACUUAUAAAUAAGGAACUUGAGGACAUCAGCCCUUUUCCUACUGAUCGCAGUGUGUUCGGAAUAUUGGCAAUCCCUAUGUAGUUAGAGUCAGCAGUCAAAUUCAUGCUGGCAGCAAUCAGCCCUGGUGGUUUCCCUUUUUACCACUGAAUCAGCGGAGGCUGGUUUACUUAGGGCAAAUGGGGCACUGCCCACCAACCUUAGAGUGCCCACAGCCAACCCUUCUUGCCUACAACCAGUCUAGGGGGGUGGCUCUGGCUGUCUGCUUCCUCCUCUAUGUUGCCCCUUCUUCAGCUCAGCAGACAGGAGGAGGGGGACAAAACAUAGAAUGACUCUGCCAGCCAUUGGCUCUGGCGCCACCUGCUGUUAGUCUCCUUGCCUUCUGCCCUACCAGUCCCAAUGGACAUCAGCCAUCAUUGCACUGAAUGUAUCUGUUGGCAGCUCUGGCAUGUUCCAAGGAAAAUUAAAUGAAGUGUCCCAAGUUGUUGGCUUCCAUUGCUAUUACCGUUGUGUACAUCCCAGUUUCCAACCGGUGAGAGAUGCCAGGGGUUCCAGUGCUUACCCAGGUUUCAGUUUCCUUGGAAUGAAGUUACAGAUAGGUGAUGGUGUCUUUGGGAUGUAUGGCUUUAUUUACGCAUAUAUACAACCUGUGCAUGGCAUGGAACAGCUCACAGCAGCAACAACCCAGCAUAUCUUGCUCCUCCAUUAGGUUUCCAGGGAGCCGGGAGCCACAGCUUUGGGACCAGCACAGAUCAAGACAAGCCUCUGUUUCUCCAACUUCCAGCAUCAGCCAAAACUCUGUCCUGAUCCACAGGCCCAACAGAGGGACUGUGUGCAUGGUUUGGUGCAGGGAUACCAAAGAAGGCUAUUGAAAACACCAGAGGGAUCAAUUCUAGUGCUUUAUUAUAAGAGGUCUAAACUGACAACACAGCCUGCAAAGUCUCGCUGCCGUUACAGACACAGGUCAAACAGCAGAGCAGUAAGAGGCCAUCAUGAAUUGUCUGCAAAGUGCUGAUAUUUUAAGUAUUAUUUAUACACAAAGGAAGCUAUGUAGGCUGGCAUCAAUAGCCCUAUUAACUCACCCCUGGCUUAGAGGACCCUUCCACCUCUCAGAUAAAGGAGUAUCUGAGGAGCAGCCAGCUUGAGAAGCUCCCUUGUCCCCACUAACCGAAAGAAACAAAUGCUCCCAAGCUCCCAAGCAGAUUAGCAUUUGUGAGAUAUUCUUGCAGCAAAUCACAGUUAGCCCCCAGCUUAGCUUGACUACCAAGAUGGUGUUUGCAGACCUUCUGACACAGAUUCCCCAGUGGUCCUACCCAAACUCACAAGCAGAAACACACAGUCACCCUUCGCCUAUUGCUCUCCCUUCCAGAAGGAUGUGGCAUCCAAUUAGGUGAUGUGGGAAAACAUUCAUGGAAGCAGGGCAACCACUUUGGACAUGUAAAUGGAGGUACUUAACUGGCCAGAUAAGCUCCUUAACAGAUGAGCAGGUUUGGCUGGUUCAGCAGGUUUCCUGUUACUCUUUCUGACCUCACAGGUCACAGGUUUGGAAGGGACCUGCAGGUGUCAUUCAUACUGACCCCACAGAUCUAUUAUUAUUAAGCAUCUUGAAGCCAUUUCAUGAUACAAUAAAACAUACGCAUAUAUAAAACAAUUGCAUAUAUAAAAACAGCUGAACCAACUGCAUAGCCACCUCCUCUCUCCAGUCAUUAUAAGAUAACCCUUUAGUGUGGCUAUUCAUCAUGAAUUGUUGUGAAUGGGUAGCGUGUUGCCAUCAGAACUGCAUCCAAAAUCAAAUAGUCUGGCAGAACAAUUAAGGGUUCCAGCCAACUUUAAUCCGACUCAUUGAAAUCAACGGACGUGGCUAACUUAGGUACAUAAAUUUCAGUGGGUCUACUCUGAGUAUAAAUCAUAGUCUCAUGGAAUGCCUAAAAGACUAGGUGCAAUUUCUCAGAGCAGGGUUUGCAUGUCUACAGGAUGUCAUCUGCAAUGGAACUUGAAGCCCUUCUGGCAGUUCUUCCUUAGGGGAAACAUCUGAAGAGCUUCAAGGAAAGCUAAAAUAGUUUCAAGUUGAACAGUGACAUGUCUCCUUAGGGUAGUGCUAAGUUUUCUUCCAAGUUGCCAUUCUACAGCUCUGUUUAGCAUUGCCAUCUUAGAGUGCUGGUCUGUGGGCUAGUCAGAAACCAGUAACCUGUUCACAGGGAGUUUGGCCCCAACUCAUAUCAUCUUGAGCAGGGGGUGGGAACCUCUGGUCCUCUAGAAGUUGCUGAACUACAACUCCCAUCAGCCCCAGCAUGCAUGGCCAAUGGUCAGGGGUGAUGGGAAUUGUAAAGGUAGGAGAUUGCAGUUUCCCUUACUUUGUGUGAGAAGAGGCAUGGAUUUUCCCUAAGGGUGACUAUUACACAGACCAAAGCCAUUUCUUUGGUCCACAAAAGUUGAGACUACCUGGACAAUUUGGGGAAGGGGAGAAGACACAUGCCAAAUUUGCCAUUUUGGAAAGGUGGACGCUAUCAACAUUUCUGUUUUGCUCUGUGGCAAUGCAAAAGUCGUCAGUGUGGUGAAUCUUGUUACACCUCAAUUUCAGGUCGGAAGCUAUGAAUGAGCUGUUAUUCUAGAAAACCUGUAUCUUGCUCGCUCUUUUCCCCCCCUUUCGCUCUUUGCUGUGGUUGCUGAAUGUGUGUGGUUGAGUAUAUGGAAUAUUGUGCCUUAAAGUUCCCUUAUCAUGUGAGCCUUCAAUUCUUCUCUGUGAUAACUGUAAAAAGCGUGCUACAGCCGAGGAUGAUUUGAUGCUCUGUGAAGAUCCAUGCUUGGUCCUUGGGUCUACCCUAAAAAGCCAUUGUUCUGUACAAAACUCUGAUAGGACUUCAGACUGUAAUCAGAGCAGACCUGGACCCAAAACUCCACAUACAUAUUGAGACCUAGGCCACAUUCACACCAUGCCUGUAUUAUGAUACUGCUUUAAACAGUCACUGCUUUCCCCAAAUAAUUCUGGGAGCUGUGGUUUGUUAAGGGUGCUGAGAACUGUUAGGAGACCCCGUUCCCUUUGUGGAUCUACAGUUCCCAGAGUGGUUUCGCAAUCAAUCCCUCUUUCCAGGGAAUUGUAGCUCUGGGAGUGGAAUUGAGGUCUCGUAACAACUGUCAGCAGCCUUAGGAAAUGACAGCUCCCAGAAUUCCUUGGGAGAAGCCAUGUUUGUUUAAAAUGGUCUCAUAGUGCUUUAAAUGUAUGGUUUGAGUGUGGCCCUAUUCUGUUUUACUUUUUGCAUUUCUGCUACCAUUUUGCAACUUCAACUGUAGCUACAAUUGAUUUCCACGUACAAUGGGCAAGAACUGAAAUUUAAUUUGGCCAGGAAACACAGGAUCUGCUUUAUGUUCCUUUUCUUUUAUGAGCUGCUUGCAUUCAUGGGGACUGCGUCUGUUUGCAUGUACCUUUGCCAGAGCCACUGAUUCCUGGAGAUUAAAACGGUUAUCUCAUUUUAAAAUCUCCUAGGUGUUGCCUCUUCCUCACCACAAACCACAGCUGCAGAAAACAGCCUUUGUAAGCGGUGUCAAAGAUAUCACUGGCAAUUUGAUAGGAGUCGGGCUGUGGAUAAUGCCACAAACAAACAUCUUAGCCUCUAAGGUGCCACAAGGCUCCUGCUAAAAUGGCUUGUGACCCCGUUUGUCAAUCAAUCACCCCAUUAGCUUAUUAAGAAGUUGCAGCCCUGGAUGGUAUCAGAAAUGCAACAAUGCAUUUGCUAGAUAACAGAAUGAAUAGGCCUUGAAUUCAGAUGUCGAGGUGGUGUGGGUUGGGUUUGAUUUUUUUUAUGGCACUUUGCUGGAGUGACUUUUUGUGUGUGUUGUACAAUCAACAUUUUGGACUACUUGAGAUCUACCGGAAAGGUUUUUAUGCUUUUCUUCUUAUUUUCUCUCUUUCUCUCUUUUUUUUAAGUGAACGGUGGGUGGGUGGGAAAUAGAUGUAUUUUAAAAUAUAAAUAAAUAAAUGAAUAUAUAUAAAUACAUGUAUAUGUGCAUGGUCUUA
Podarcis raffonei (Aeolian wall lizard) is the source of this 7717-nucleotide long non-coding RNA. RefSeq lists it as uncharacterized. Lineage: Eukaryota; Metazoa; Chordata; Lepidosauria; Squamata; Lacertidae. The transcript is spliced from 5 exons. The record is from RefSeq and is a predicted model, not a curated record.